This 253-nucleotide ribosomal RNA is filed under the name uncultured bacterium. RNAcentral's name for it is "partial 16S ribosomal RNA". It matches the Rfam family "Bacterial small subunit ribosomal RNA", at positions 524 to 776 of the family's 1533-position model. The record is from RNAcentral.
UACGGAGGGGACUAGCGUUGGUCGGAAUUACUGGGCGUAAAGCGCUCGUAGGCGGAUUGUUUAGUCAGGGGUGAAAUCCCGAGGCUCAACCUCGGAACUGCCUUUGAUACUGGCAAUCUCGAGUCCGGAAGAGGUGAGUGGAAUUCCUAGUGUAGAGGUGAAAUUCGUAGAUAUUAGGAAGAACACCAGUGGCGAAGGCGGCUCACUGGUCCGGUACUGACGCUGAGGUGCGAAAGCGUGGGGAGCAAACAGG